This 1254-nucleotide long non-coding RNA is filed under the name Anas platyrhynchos platyrhynchos (common mallard). RNAcentral describes it as "lncRNA (ENSAPLG00000018552.1)". Lineage: Eukaryota; Metazoa; Chordata; Aves; Anseriformes; Anatidae. The record is from RNAcentral.
UCUAAGUAUGUUUUGUUGUAAUUGAAAUUAUAUUUUUUCAAGUGCUGAUAACAUACUUUGUACAGUAAACAGAUUUAAAAGAUCUCAUUUGUAACUUAGAUGCUAGCUGUGACGUUACUGGACUUCUGUUGAGUAAGCAAUUUUGCAACUGAAAAGAGAGGGAAUGCUACAACUACAAGAAGCCAAAAGAAUCAUUUCCUUUUCCCCUGAAAUUUUCUAGGAUUUCAAAUAGUGUUGUUCAUAAGGGUGAAAUCCUGAAAAUAUUUGAAAAAAAAAAAAAAAAAAAAGAGAAAAAAAGUAUGUGAAUUAAAGACUCAAACACUUCUAGGCAAUCCUUCAUGGGAGUAACCAGCCAGGUAGGAAAAAAAAAAAAGCGCGAUCAAGAAAGAGAUUCUGGCAGUGAACCCCUUGGUUUCUCUUUUUUGAAACUGUACAUGAUAGUAUCGUGGUUCUGUAGUAAAGUCACUCCUCCUGGCUGAAGAGAAACAUAUUUUCAUAUUACUGUCAUAUAUGGAGUGGUAAUUCGUGUCAAGAAAAUGGUUGAUAUUAAUAAAGAAAGGGGAAAUUUGGGAUUGUGGCCAUGGAGGUCGGAAAGCCCCGUGGUUGAGAUAACAUUAGACUUAACGAUGAGGCCAUCAGGAAUGUAAAAGAGUUUAGAGGGAACAAAGAAGGGUGAUUCAGGAGACUCCAUGCAGUUUCAGGUUGCUUGUUCUCCAGCCAUUAAGGCAUGGAAGUUUCUGGGUGUUUGCUGUUGUUGUUAUAUUCAAAGUUGUUUGACCAAUGAAAAGUUGUUUUGAAAAGGACUGCUGUGGGGAGAAGGGUAUAAGAGGGGAGCCUGUCCUCAAGAUAAAAAAAAAAAAAGGCAACACGAUGUGAUGAAGUUACGUCAUCAAUAAAGAAGCAGAAAGAAGGAUUGAAAAGGAACAGGCUAGCAGAACAGGGACCAGGACGGCAGACACAUUGAUCGCCUUAUGAAGAUAGGUUCGGCCAGACUCAGAAAACCGCUCAGAGAAGCUCAUAGAGAAAGUCACUGGAAACAGGCGCACUGGAGCUGGAAAGAAGCUCAAGCUCAGAGAAGCAGACCCGCGCACACAACUGCCCCUCGCUGGCACUGGUCUGUCUAUGAAACAACAGAAUUUUGAAAACAUAAAAGCUGGAUAUGCAUUCUACUGUGUCCAUUCUUGAAUAAUGAAUUGGGUUAAAACAGUCAAGCCAUGUAUGUUCAAGAAAUAAAGGUACUUUCUACCUAAAUCA